Long non-coding RNA from Magallana angulata, 549 nucleotides. RefSeq lists it as uncharacterized. NCBI's taxonomy places the organism in Eukaryota, Metazoa, Mollusca, Bivalvia, Ostreida, Ostreidae. The transcript has 2 exons. The record is from RefSeq and is a predicted model, not a curated record.
UCUCUAUAAAGGGAGGUAAAUGUCACAUUGAAAUUCAUCAUUGUAUAUAUUUAGUUUCGUAUUUUAACUUUACCACAUAUCCCGUGGUUAGCCCCUUAGUGUUUUAGGCAUACGUAUUUGUAAAAACCCAUAUUGAACCUCAGUUCACCGGGCCUUAAACCCGCCAGUCCGUGCAGUAUCAGUUUGGACGCGGCAGUCCAGAGGGAAGGACGUUCUUAUACUUCUCUCGUGCAUACCAUCCAGUCACUAUGUAUUUUGUUAAUUGAAAUAGCUGUGUGCUAACUCUGAAGUGAACCUGGUACUGGCUUUUUCUGAGGUCCCUUGUUCCAUCUAUUGUGUAAACCACUUUCAUCGAUGGUGGCCGAAUAUUGGUGACGUCUUAUGUAGACUAAGUGGCCAGUAGAGAACAUUGUCCCUUGGAGGACCUCACCAGUCCAUUCUUGUCAAGACCAAGUGGCAAUAGACAACAGUGGAGGACCUUACCAGUUCCCAUACUAGGACAAUUACUUUCUAUAUGUAUUGAUUCAAACUAUAUUAAAUAUGUAAAAA